Molecule: ribosomal RNA, 1040 nt
Filed under: Escherichia coli
Lineage: Bacteria; Pseudomonadati; Pseudomonadota; Gammaproteobacteria; Enterobacterales; Enterobacteriaceae
Description: partial 23S ribosomal RNA
Rfam family: Bacterial large subunit ribosomal RNA
Source: RNAcentral
AGCCCAGAGCCUGAAUCAGUGUGUGUGUUAGUGGAAGCGUCUGGAAAGGCGCGCGAUACAGGGUGACAGCCCCGUACACAAAAAUGCACAUGCUGUGAGCUCGAUGAGUAGGGCGGGACACGUGGUAUCCUGUCUGAAUAUGGGGGGACCAUCCUCCAAGGCUAAAUACUCCUGACUGACCGAUAGUGAACCAGUACCGUGAGGGAAAGGCGAAAAGAACCCCGGCGAGGGGAGUGAAAAAGAACCUGAAACCGUGUACGUACAAGCAGUGGGAGCCUCUUUAUGGGGUGACUGCGUACCUUUUGUAUAAUGGGUCAGCGACUUAUAUUCUGUAGCAAGGUUAACCGAAUAGGGGAGCCGAAGGGAAACCGAGUCUUAACUGGGCGUUAAGUUGCAGGGUAUAGACCCGAAACCCGGUGAUCUAGCCAUGGGCAGGUUGAAGGUUGGGUAACACUAACUGGAGGACCGAACCGACUAAUGUUGAAAAAUUAGCGGAUGACUUGUGGCUGGGGGUGAAAGGCCAAUCAAACCGGGAGAUAGCUGGUUCUCCCCGAAAGCUAUUUAGGUAGCGCCUCGUGAAUUCAUCUCCGGGGGUAGAGCACUGUUUCGGCAAGGGGGUCAUCCCGACUUACCAACCCGAUGCAAACUGCGAAUACCGGAGAAUGUUAUCACGGGAGACACACGGCGGGUGCUAACGUCCGUCGUGAAGAGGGAAACAACCCAGACCGCCAGCUAAGGUCCCAAAGUCAUGGUUAAGUGGGAAACGAUGUGGGAAGGCCCAGACAGCCAGGAUGUUGGCUUAGAAGCAGCCAUCAUUUAAAGAAAGCGUAAUAGCUCACUGGUCGAGUCGGCCUGCGCGGAAGAUGUAACGGGGCUAAACCAUGCACCGAAGCUGCGGCAGCGACACUAUGUGUUGUUGGGUAGGGGAGCGUUCUGUAAGCCUGCGAAGGUGUACUGUGAGGUAUGCUGGAGGUAUCAGAAGUGCGAAUGCUGACAUAAGUAACGAUAAAGCGGGUGAAAAGCCCGCUCGCCGGAAGACC